This 498-nucleotide ribosomal RNA is filed under the name uncultured bacterium. Its description in RNAcentral is "partial 16S ribosomal RNA". It matches the Rfam family "Bacterial small subunit ribosomal RNA", at positions 30 to 523 of the family's 1533-position model. The record is from RNAcentral.
AUUGAACGCUGGCGGCAUGCCUUACACAUGCAAGUCGAACGGUAACAGGUCUUCGGAUGCUGACGAGUGGCGAACGGGUGAGUAAUAUAUCGGAACGUGCCCAGUAGUGGGGGAUAACUGCUCGAAAGAGCAGAUAAUACCGCAUACGACCUGAGGGAGAAAGGGGGGGAUCGCAAGACCUCUCGCUAUUGGAUCGGCCGAUAGCCGAUUAGCUAGUUGGGGGGGUAAAGGCCUACCAAGGCAACGGUCUGUAGUUGGUCUGAGAGGACGACCAGCCACACUGGGACUGAGAAACGGGCCAGACUCCUACGGGAGGCAGCAGUGGGGAAUUUUGGACAAUGGGCGCAAGCCUGAUCCAGCAAUGCCGCGUGCAGGAAGAAGGCCUUCGGGUUGUAAACUGCUUUUGUCAGGGAAGAAAUCUUCUGGGCUAAUACCCCGGGAGGAUGACGGUACCUGAAGAAUAAGCACCGGCUAACUACGUGCCAGCAGCCGCCGUAA